Molecule: ribosomal RNA, 212 nt
Filed under: uncultured bacterium
Lineage: Bacteria
Description: partial 16S ribosomal RNA
Rfam family: Bacterial small subunit ribosomal RNA
Source: RNAcentral
AGCCUGUCCCAGUUCGGACUGGAGUCUGCAACCCGACUCCACGAAGUUGGAUUCGCUAGUAAUCGCGCAUCAGCCAUGGCGCGGUGAAUACGUUCCCGGGCCUUGUACACACCGCCCGUCAAGCCAUGGGAGCCGGGGGCGCCUGAAGUCCGGGACCGCGAGGACCGGCCUAGGGCGAAACUGGUAACUGGGCUAAGUCGUAACAAGGUAAC